GUCCCUGUAGCGCAAUGGAAAGCGCAUUAGACUUCUAAUCCAAAGGUAAUGGGUUUGAGUCCCAUCUGGGGUU
This is a non-coding RNA of Trichonephila clavipes, 73 nucleotides long. NCBI's taxonomy places the organism in Eukaryota, Metazoa, Arthropoda, Arachnida, Araneae, Nephilidae. The record is from the annotation of a GenBank genome assembly.